CAGUAGCCGCGGGAAUACCGAGGGUGCGAGCGUUAAUCGGAUUUACUGGGCGUAAAGCGUGCGUAGGCGGCUUCUUAAGUCGGAUGUGAAAUCCCUGAGCUUAACUUAGGAAUUGCAUUCGAUACUGGGAAGCUAGAGUAUGGGAGAGGAUGGUAGAAUUCCAGGUGUAGCGGUGAAAUGCGUAGAGAUCUGGAGGAAUACCGAUGGAGAAGGCAGCCAUCUGGCCUAAUACUGACGCUGAGGUACGAAAGCAUGGGGAGCAAACAGGAUUAGAUACCCCUGUAGUCCCUGUCUCUUAUAC
This 301-nucleotide ribosomal RNA is filed under the name uncultured bacterium. RNAcentral describes it as "partial 16S ribosomal RNA". It matches the Rfam family "Bacterial small subunit ribosomal RNA", at positions 509 to 807 of the family's 1533-position model. The record is from RNAcentral.